AUCAGAGCACCUAAGGACACUUGAGCCACCACUCCUACUAAUCAUUAAUACCUGCAAGUUACUCAUACGAAGAGCAACAUUUUCAAGCAGAAGGGGUGAGAUUUCACAAAACAAUAAUAUCAAGCAUAUAAUUCAAUAAUUAUAUUUAACAACACAAAUAACUUCAUCUAUUAGCAAUAAUACUUCUUAAUGUAUAACUCUUAAUAAUCCAACUAACCUCUAAUUAUCAUUUACUUUAUAUUCAUCACAUUAUAAAUAUCAUCAUAUAACACAUAUUAACCAAAUCGUAACAAACAUAGAUCAUCACAUCAUAGUCAUAGUUCAUAUAUAGCAUAACAACAUCUUAAUCAUAAUUCAUAUACA
Molecule: long non-coding RNA, 363 nt
Filed under: Medicago truncatula (barrel medic)
Lineage: Eukaryota; Viridiplantae; Streptophyta; Magnoliopsida; Fabales; Fabaceae
Description: long non-coding RNA (MTRU_LNC000485)
Source: RNAcentral